Molecule: long non-coding RNA, 3279 nt
Organism: Ctenopharyngodon idella (grass carp)
Lineage: Eukaryota; Metazoa; Chordata; Actinopteri; Cypriniformes; Xenocyprididae
Exons: 4
Source: RefSeq, a predicted model, not a curated record
AUUUUUUUUUAUUUUAGAUAAUGUUUAUUUUGUUUCAAGUAACUUUUUUGGUUUGGUUUUCAUUUUAGUUUUAGCAACUAUAAUAACCCUACCUUCAAAGUACAGUUAAAUUAUAUUUGUGCAUGGCCUUUUACAUUGGUUGUUAAAGUUAUUGCACAAAAACAAGAAUUCUUGAAGAGGGCAAGCCUCUGUCCUCUGACAACCACCAACACAUUUGUUUUAUGUGCCAACAGCCCCUGAACUAUUUAGGGAUAUCAGUCAGGAUUAAAAGAGAAUGGAAAGCACAGCUCAGAUCUAUUCAAUGACCUACUUGAAACUUUUCCUUUUGAGUUUUGUUCUAUAAUGUCAAAAUAUAGCCUCCGACUUUCCAUAUGACUGAAUUUCCAUUGAAACUGCACUGUUGAUCUACUUUGUCCUGUUGUCCUGGUUUACGGUCUAUAUGUGCACAGGAAACUUUCAGAGCAAUCAAAAAGCACAAGGUACACAACACGUCAGAUGACACCCAAAAUGAAGAAAUAUUGAAAAUCUCUUUAUGUUGCAAGACCAAAAGAAGAACACAAGACAUUCGGCCAAAAAUACUUAUAUUGCAAAAGAUAUAAGAAUUAUGACAGCAGAUAAAUCUGUGUAUAGCUAAGAUAAAUAUUAAAAUUGACCUUUAAACCUUGCCUUAGACUGACAGCAAAUUGCUACUGGCUAGCUCAGCAGAAAGAGUUUCAUCACUGACCGGUCAAAGGUUGAAAGAUGGACGUGAUUCUGGCCUACUGUUCACCGACUGAACGAAGAGGACAAACCUGAAGGUCUUCUGAAACCCACGAUUCAACCAAAUAACAGGGUUGGACUAUUUACACUGCAGCAUUACCUCCCCGUAGCCAAUAGGACAAACGUUCAUUUGCACACAUAACUAUCUGGAUGUGUGUCAUUUGUAUACAAUUCAGUGCCAAAGGCUUUCAUCAUGUCUCCACUAAUCAAAUGUCAAACAACACAACAGAUUAAGGAAUCAACACACAAAAUCAGGAUCAUUUGGAGGAUUCCAUGAUGGAGAUGUGAUGGGUUGGAUCGGCUCCAUAUUAGGUCCCCAAACUUGGUGGUGUGUUUUUGUGGCGUUGAUCAAAUUCCUCCUCAGCCGGGCCUGAGAGCGUCAAAUAUCCAAAGCCAAUGCCUGCCUGAGGACGAUGGGGCCUGUUCCAUCUUUUCUUAUACAAGCAGCCCAGUUGGAGACAGCAAAGCUUUCCUGCAUGAGCUUUAGAUCGCAAGGCAGCCUCCCUCUAUGAUCAAUGUGUUUAACCCCUGUGCACAAGGUAGAUGCAUGGAUCCUCACUGUGAAACCAAGAACAUCUGGCCCCCUCAUUGGACAUCAGUGUGACUCUGACAGCCAGGAACUAUUGGCCUCAUUAGCUAAAGGAGAAAAAGGGAAAGAAAGCGAGUGAUGCCUAAUUUCCCUUCCUUUCACAGUCUGGUUCUCCAAACACCGAAGCCCUGAAGCACGCUAAGCCUCUUACCUCUCUCUGUCUCUCUCUUUUUCCUCCUCAAACCAGUUCUGAAGUCUUUUCUGCUCCCCUUCACCCUAACCCACUUUAAAAGCUAUUCUCCUCCAGCUCAAUGCAAAUAAGGCCAUUUCAUUUUACUAUGCUGGCAGUACGUCUCCCACUAAAAGGAAUGGGAAGCGGUGGCACACUCCAUCUGUGCGCGGGAUGUGGUUCCUUUUAAUGCCGUGGCAAUUUUUCUUUUAGAGUAUUACCAGAGUUAGCACCGAGGGCUGUGAAUAUUUCUGCUAGUAUAUAAAAUGCAGUUAUAAUCUGCAAACGGCCUUGAGUUCACAUUCAAUUUCAUGACAUGUUUGCUCACCAGGUUGUGUGGUAUUAGACGGCUGUAAGAAAGCCUUGUUUUUUUUAUCCAUGAAAAUGCAGUGUGAUGCAAAGAACUGAAUGAAUGCAUGUAACUGCUGAGUCAACAGCUCAGACCUGGUACUAGAAAGCAUAAACUCGCGCAUCUGAGGGAAAAAUCAAACCCCUCUCAUUGCCAAUUUUCAUGUUUUUACUUAUAUUCUUUUUUUAGAACAAAAUUGUCCUUUCAAUUCAGUAUAAUAUAUACAUUUUUAUCAUUAUAUUAUAUUCUUUGAUAUUUUUAUUUAAUAUUGUCAUGAUUCCAGCCUGUGUUCCCCUGUCUUGUGUAGACUUUUAUGUAAUUUCCUGUUAUGUUUCUGUUCUUAUAGUCCUUUUGUUGAUUGCUUACCUGUUCAUUAAAGGGUUAGUUCACCCAACAAUGAAAAAAAUUUAAUUUAUUACUUACCCUCAUGUCGUUCUACACUCGUAAGGCCUUCGUUCAUCUUCACCAAAAAACAUAAAUAAAAAUAAUGAAUUCUCAACAAUAUCUGUAUUGGCCAAUUUCAAAACACUGCUUCAAGAAGCUUCUGAGCUUUAUGAAUCUUUUGUUUCGAAUUAGUGAUUCGGAUCUCCUAUCAAACGGCUAAACUGCUGAAAUCACGUGACUUUGGGGCUCCGAUUCACUGAUUCGAUUCGUAAAGCUCUGAAGCAGUGUUUUAAAAUCGGCCCAUAUAGAUAUUAUUGAAAAGUCGUUAUUUUGCUUUUUUGGUGCACAAAAAGUAUUCUUGUCGCUUUAUAAUAGUAAGAUAGAACCACUGAACUCACAUGAACUGUUUCAAAUAUGUUUUUAGUACUUUUAUGAACCUUGAGAGUUUCAAUGGCUUUGCUCUCAAUAGAGGCCUCACUGAGCCAUCGGAUUUCAUCAACAAUAUCUUAAUUUGUGUUUGAAGAUAGAAAAAGGUCUUACCGGUGUAGAACGACAUGAGGGUGAGAAAUAAAUGAAAUUAUUUUCAUUUUUUGGUGAACUAACCCUUCAAACUUGAUUGUUCCCAGGUGUGUCUUGUUGUUAGCCCUGUGUUCUUUGUCAGGUCUUGUCCUACUUGGCUGUAUAUCGGUGCGACUCAGUUCCGUUCCUGUGGAUUUAUUUUGUUCUGUUCCUGGUUCUUGGCUGUAUGUUUUUAUUAAUAAAAACCCAACUGUAUUUGGAUCCAGCUCCCUGAGCUCCUGAAAUAAUGAGCAUGCUGAAGUAUUAAAUAUUUUAGAGAAGUUAUUGUAUUGAGAAUGAAUGUCCAACCUUAAACCCAACUGUCAGUGGGGCGCAAGCAGAUCAUACAAAAACGUAUAAUGAGAUUGUAUGAAUUCACCACCAAGUCACAAAUGAAAAUUGGUUCCGAAUUGAAUCAGCUUUAGAGUGUCAAGGCAGGACAUAUGACACUCAUUGACAGACCAAUGAGAC